This 4192-nucleotide long non-coding RNA is filed under the name Nicotiana tabacum (common tobacco). RNAcentral's name for it is "long non-coding RNA (NTAB_LNC007740)". Lineage: Eukaryota; Viridiplantae; Streptophyta; Magnoliopsida; Solanales; Solanaceae. The record is from RNAcentral.
AAACAAUCCAACGGUCCAGAUUCAGUCGUGCACUUUAUACCAACCAAACACCCCUAAAUCCUCAUUCAUUCCCAACCUUACCCGACAUCCUCUCUUUCCCAAAUCUCUCUCAUUUCUCUCACUAUCCGACCCUGCCAGUCACAAAUCAUUGCACAAUUCGCGCAAGGUCACAAAUUCAAACCCCAAAUCACUCAAUUUGUCCCCUACAUCCACAAAUCCUGUCGAUACUUCCAUUUUCAUUACCAAAAUCCAAAAGCCCUAAUUUGAACACUAGACCUAAAUAGUUCUACUGAGAACAGUCUGUUCUCCCAUCGUUUUUUCAAAUCCAUGGCAUGCAUGACCGUGUCUUUGACUUCAUUAUCAUUAUUUGACCUCUGGACAUUUGGGCUUUGUACGAUGGGUCUUCGCCUUCAACGGCCAUCUCCUCGUGCCCAGGUAAAUACGUGUUACUUUUUCCCUUUGUUCUUCACUAAUUUCACCUCUAUUGAUGUCAUCAUCCGACUAUCGUCACCUUCCACUACCGAUUUAAAAUCUAAUCGGAACCCUAAGGCUUAAUGCCACUAUAAACGAGGCAUUCAAUGUCCUCACCUAACACACAUCUAAUACAAUCAGAAACACAAAAGAAAGAAAAGAAAAGGAUUAAAAUUUGAGGUUUUCUCGCUAGUCCAAUAAUAAUCUUUGAUUUGUUUUGUUUCCUUUAUCUUUUAUUCUCCGGUAUGAGUUUCAACAGCUGUUGGUCUUGAGUUUGGAUCCUUAAACAACUGUUGAAUUGCCUCUACUUGGUUUGCUGCUCGAUAGAAGGUAAGUACAUAUUGACCCCUUUUUACUUUGAAUUAAUCGUUUGGUUCUAUGGUUUCCUAGUUAUUUCUCUAAUUGUUCGUGCUAGAUAUUAAACUAUGUUUAUCAUGACUUGCCUCAUAUAUAUAUAUAUUGUUUUCACCGUUGAGUUAGGGAUUUUUUGAUCAAGAUAUGUUGUAUUGUUAUCAAACCUAUGCUGUCGAAUUCUAUUCUUAUCAUAUGAUUAAUAAAAAAUGCCUCUAUGUUAAAUGAUGCUCUUGUGGUCAAGCCUCUAUGACUAUUUAAAGUAAUCUCCAUGUUGUUUUUGUGUAUAACUGGCCUCUGUUAGUAAAGUAACACUCGUAUAAGCUUUAUCAUGUUAGCUGAGCCAGUUGAAUCAUAUUCUUGAACUUUUCUUUGUGUUUCUGUAUCCAGAUCAACUUGAUCCUCCUACUUGUGAUAUUGUACUGUUCUUAUAAAUAUUUUUCCUGAAGCCUAUGUAUUUUACCUGAUAACUAGCUGAUAAGUUUGUAGUUGAUAACUUGCCUAUUCUGCAUAUUCAAUGAUCCAUAUAUGGCUAUUAUUCUUUUAUCCUAUUAAAGCUUCAUUGAUCUAGAUCCUAUGCUGAUGAUGUUAUAUGUAUUCUUUUCUGCUAACCUAGUAGUUGUGAUAAAAUUAGGCUUCUAAAAUCUUUCUUGAGAACACUGUUAAUACUUGCCAACACUAAGCCAUUUGAUAUUUGUAAUGUUUUGCUGUUCUGAUUUAGUUCUUACCUCUCAUAUUAACUUGUUAGACUCUAAAUAGCAGCCUGCUUAUGUCAUUGUAAUAGCUCUAUGUGCCCUCUGUGAUGACUUAAAACCAUGUAAUGAACCUUGUUAAUGUACGAAGGAACUUGCAUUCAUGACUAAACAUAACUUGAUUAGGAUAAAACUCUACAGUGAGUACUGAAACUUGCCAUCUGGUGACUGUUUGAGUUGUAUGAGACUUCUGUUGUUAUGUUAUAAACUUAUUGUACCUGAAUGCACACCUGCCAUUAUUAAUUUGGUUAAGUUCACAGACUAUCACCUGACUUUAAUUUGAAGGAUUAUAUGUUUGCACCUAUGUGUCACAAUUCUGAUCUUACCGUGGUAAUACACUGGUCUGAGUUUAUGAUUAUUGUUUGUCAAAAGGCAUGUCUCUAAUGCUUAGGAUGAUCUGUUAUCAUGACUCUCACAGCUAGGCUUAGCCAUGACUUCGCACUAUCCUGAUCCCUAUAUGUCUGUCAAGUUAACUUGUAUCCAACCAUGUGUAGAGCUUUGUUGAGAUACUAUGCUAGUGAACCUAUUUACAUGCCCAACUGUUAGCUCAGUAUGACCUGUUUGCCUUGAUAAGUUAACGGGAAUGUCACUCACCAGCUAAGCUUACUCUUAACUAUACUGAAGCAAAAUUGCAUAUGCACUGUUCUUAUACUCUGAACCUACAUAAAAGAACUCUGAGCAUCAAACCUACAGCGAAGAUAGUAAAAUACGUACUUGAACUCAUCCUUUCAUAGUGCUGGACAAUUACUAUUUCUUAGCCGAAAGACAUGAGUAAUGAAGUAUGCCUAUUGCUUGCAUUUUUGUUAUCUUGUGUGAUUAUGUCCCAAUAGUGACUCAUGCCUACUGUAGUGUCCUGUUCUUAUACUCUAUGCUUGAUAUGAGGUUCUCUAAAGUCAAUAUUGUGCCCUUGGUUGUUUUCUAUGCUUUGAUAAUGAAUUACAAUAUUCCAUUGGUUCACAGCUGCUGAAUAUUUGUGUGUUUGAACCUUUACAGAAUUUACAAUGACUUCCACAUCUACUGUUUAUGUCUUGGCAGUAUGAAAUUGCUCUGUUGAUUCUUUAUUUGUGUUUAAGCCUUUGAGAAAGAAUAUAAGUAAGUGGUUAAUGGUAUUUGGGUGUGAAACCUAGUUGUGAAUAAGGCACCCUUCCCUGACACAAUCACUGCUCGGGGUCCAUAAGACACUCGUGAACUCUGAAGUGCGAGGGGUUCACAAGAGUAUUUUAUCCAUAAACAAAGAUUUAACCAAAGACUUUAAUUACUAACUCCUAUUAAUACUCAUAGGAUUAACAUAAAUAACAUCUGUCCCAUCGCAUUCUUUAGUUCUUUUUCUUUUUUGUCUUAAUCUCUAUCUUAUUUUAUUUUUAUAUUUGAUAUAUACUAAAUUGUCUCUUAUUUCUUUCUGUACAUGCCUCGAAUUGGGCUCACAACCCAAUUGCAAAUACAGCCUGCUCCUUCUCCAUGCAUUGUGGGUCUGCUACCUUGAUUCAAAUCCUGCUUGGCCUAGCUAGCUUAUCAGCCUAACAGUCAAAGAGUCCACCUUCUUCCUUCCUUUACCUUUAAUGAUAUUCAUCGAUGUUUGCUACUUUACAUGUAAAUAUAUCUCUGAAUGACUAACUUUUCUAUUGGAUAAAUUUUGAUAUUUUGAUUAUCUAGGAACAUAGGCAAACCCCAACUAGUAGGUAAAAGCUAAAGUAAGAAUCCUGCUCGCCUUAGUUUAUUUUGAUCGCUAAUUUGAAGCUUAAUCUUUUUAGUAAAAUAAAAGUUUUAUCUUGUUGUACUAACAAUUUUCAAUGAGUUCUUGACUUCGACAGAUUCAAAAGCAAAACGGACCCUCUUGAAAAUCAAAACUUCGAAAAUAAUUGCUAAGGUAUUUUCAAGAAGAAAAACCAAACACAACCAAUGCUUAUAAAUUAACGGUCCUCAACGAGUUUCAAAUACAAGAUUUCUGUUGAAAUUGUAAGGUAUACCCAUCCCAAUUUGAGGUAUAUCUUCAAAUACUUCUCUUAUUCUAUUAAGUUUUAAAAACCACAUUUUCCAAAACACAACUUUUCUUCAAACAAAAGAUUUCUUACAAGAUUUUUUCUCGAAAAUAAAGCAUAUCUAGUUUCCAACUUAAUAAAUGUACAUAUAUAUUUUAAAGGGCGAUUUCUUUUCAAGAUUAUAAAACUCAAGAACUUGAACUUAUUUUCAAAGUACAUAUACAUACCUUUUCUUUAAUAGUGAACUUUUAGGAUAUUUUCACGGUCUUUAAAAAUAUUACUAAGCAGAAUAUAGACAUUCUUUCUUCGGACCUAGACUAAGACUAAAGGGCUACCUCAGGUAGAUUUUAAAGGGUGCCUAACAUCUUUCCCUUGGAAUAACUAGAACCCUUACCCGAAUCUCAGCAGUUAGCAGGCCGUUAGGAUAAUGAUCUUAUAAACUCAUAGGUACCCUAAUAUACCUUAAAAUAUUAGGUGGCGACUCUCUUUAAUCAACUUCAGAUGAACCAUUAGUUGUAUUUUGUUUUGACUAGUGCAAAAUAGGGUGCAACACUUAGAUUCUGACCUUAACAGAUUUAGGCUAGACUUGAACUUUGAGGAUGUUUGUUAUAUUCUACUUUAAUCAUGCUUAACCUGCAG